GAUGAACGCUGGCGGCGUGCCUAAUACAUGCAAGUCGAGCGAACAGAUGAGGAGCUUGCUCCUCUGACGUUAGCGGCGGACGGGUGAGUAACACGUGGAUAACCUACCUAUAAGACUGGGAUAACUACGGGAAACCGGAGCUAAUACCGGAUAAUAUAUUGAACCGCAUGGUUCAAUAGUGAAAGACGGUUUUGCUGUCACUUAUAGAUUGAUCCGCGCCGCAUUAGCUAGUUGGUAAGGUAACGGCUUACCAAGGCAACGAUGCGUAGCCGACCUGAGAGGGUGAUCGGCCACACUGGAACUGAGACACGGUCCAGACUCCUACGGGAGGCAGCAGUAGGGAAUCUUCCGCAAUGGACGAAAGCCUGACGGAGCAACGCCGCGUGAGUGAUGAAGGUCUUCGGAUCGUAAAACUCUGUUAUUAGGGAAGAACAAAUGUGUAAGUAACUAUGCACGUCUUGACGGUACCUAAUCAGAAAGCCACGGCUAACUACGUG
This 497-nucleotide ribosomal RNA is filed under the name uncultured bacterium. Its description in RNAcentral is "partial 16S ribosomal RNA". It matches the Rfam family "Bacterial small subunit ribosomal RNA", at positions 28 to 507 of the family's 1533-position model. The record is from RNAcentral.